GACGAACGCUGGCGGCGUGCUUAACACAUGCAAGUCGAACGGAAAGGCCCUGCUUUUGUUGGGUGCUCGAGUGGCGAACGGGUGAGUAACACGUGAGUAACCUGCCCUUGACUUUGGGAUAACUUCAGGAAACUGGGGCUAAUACCGGAUAGGAGCUCCUGCUGCAUGGUGGGGGUUGGAAAGUUUCGGCGGUUGGGGAUGGACUCGCGGCUUAUCAGCUUGUUGGUGGGGUAGUGGCUUACCAAGGCUUUGACGGGUAGCCGGCCUGAGAGGGUGACCGGCCACAUUGCGACUGAGAUACGGCCCAGACUCCUACGGGAGGCAGCAGUGGGGAAUAUUGCACAGUGGGCGGAAGCCUGAUGCAGCAACGCCGCGUGCGGGAUGACGGCCUUCGGGUUGUAAACCGCUUUCGCCUGUGACGAAGCGUGAGUGACGGUAAUGGGUAAAGAAGCACCGGCUAACUACGUG
Molecule: ribosomal RNA, 468 nt
Filed under: uncultured bacterium
Lineage: Bacteria
Description: partial 16S ribosomal RNA
Rfam family: Bacterial small subunit ribosomal RNA
Source: RNAcentral